Merluccius polli (Benguela hake) is the source of this 73-nucleotide non-coding RNA. The record is from the annotation of a GenBank genome assembly. NCBI's taxonomy places the organism in Eukaryota, Metazoa, Chordata, Actinopteri, Gadiformes, Merlucciidae.
GGCAGGAUAGUCCCGUGGUCAGGGCAUUUGACUCCCAGCUGAAAGGUUCUGGGUUCGAUCCCCAGUGUCGCUA